UAAUGUGCCCUGAACAUCGGGAUAACAGCGGGAAACCGCUGCUAAUACCGAAUAACCCUGCAAUGUCGCAUGACGAAGCAGGCAAAGUUCCGGCGGUUCAGGAUCAGCCCGCGGUGUAUCAGCUUGUUGGUAGGGUAACGGCCUACCAAGGCUUUGACGCAUAGCUGGCGUGAGAGCGCGACCAGCCACACUGGGACUGAGACACGGCCCAG
RNAcentral lists this ribosomal RNA (212 nucleotides) under uncultured bacterium. Its description in RNAcentral is "partial 16S ribosomal RNA". It matches the Rfam family "Bacterial small subunit ribosomal RNA", at positions 122 to 334 of the family's 1533-position model. The record is from RNAcentral.